RNAcentral lists this ribosomal RNA (492 nucleotides) under uncultured bacterium. Its description in RNAcentral is "partial 16S ribosomal RNA". It matches the Rfam family "Bacterial small subunit ribosomal RNA", at positions 29 to 507 of the family's 1533-position model. The record is from RNAcentral.
AGUGAACGCUGGCGGUAGGCCUAACACAUGCAAGUCGAACGGCAGCACAGUAAGAGCUUGCUCUUACGGGUGGCGAGUGGCGGACGGGUGAGGAAUACAUCGGAAUCUACUUUUUCGUGGGGGAUAACGUAGGGAAACUUACGCUAAUACCGCAUACUACCUACGGGUGAAAGCAGGGGAUCUUCGGACCUUGCGCGUUUGAAUGAGCCGAUGUCGGAUUAGCUAGUUGGCGGGGUAAAGGCCCACCAAGGCGACGAUCCGUAGCUGGUCUGAGAGGAUGAUCAGCCACACUGGAACUGAGACACGGUCCAGACUCCUACGGGAGGCAGCAGUGGGGAAUAUUGGACAAUGGGCGCAAGCCUGAUCCAGCCAUACCGCGUGGGUGAAGAAGGCCUUCGGGUUGUAAAGCCCUUUUGUUGGGAAAGAAAAGCAGCAGGUUAAUACCCCGCUGUUCUGACGGUACCCAAAGAAUAAGCACCGGCUAACUUCGUG